UAAAAUAUUUAUGAUUUUUAGAAUCUAUAUGAGUUGAUACUUCUUUCAAGAAAUUGAAAGAAUGUCAUUUUAACAUUUUUCUUGUUAACAGACAAUGUUACUUUAGAAUCCCAAUGCAAAAGUUAUACUUACUUUCAAUUUAAUAUUAAUUUUAAAAAUAAUUUUAUUUAUCUCAAAUAGUUUUGAUCAAAUAAGUGUAACUAAUAAAAUCAUAAAUGAAUUCAAUUAUUUUCUAAAUCUGUGUAAACAAUUAUAGGUGAUACUUUCUAAAAACAUUAAGAAACAGAGGAAUAUUUUCUAACUUACUUUAUAUUUGAAGAAUAUUCAAACUUUUAUUUUACAUAGAUAUAUGUUGUGAUGGAUAAUAUUUCUAAACCAAAAUGCAUAAGUAAAUUAUUAUUUAGUUCUUGACAAUAACAUCAACAAAUGAUAAAAGUAUGAAUUUAAAAUUUUAAUUAUAUAUGAAUAACUGUAUUAUGAUCCUUUUGUUUUAUUACCUCAUGUUUUAUGUCUAUGCACACAAAUUUAAAAAGAAUUAUGUUUGAAGAUUUAGAAAACAAAGCACAUUAACUAUUUACCAAAUCACAGCUCAACUAAUAGAAAAUAAACUAUGAAAUAAAAAUUCACAUAGCAUGAAAAGAUAUAAAUUUAUAUUGAAAAUUAAAAACUUCAUCUAUGAAGAAUUUCAAUUCAAAUAUUAUAUGAGGCUCAAGGAAAUACAUACAAUUAAAACGGUUAUUUAUGGUUUAUUAAAUUUAUGGAGUUUUUAAAAAAUCAUCUUCCAUAAUAUAUUUAUUUUAAAUUGUAUUGUAAACAAGUAUGGAGUGGCAUCAGUAUGCAACGGAGGAGGAGGAGCAUCAGCACUUGUUCUUGAGUUCAUGUAAGCUUCUUCUUUAACUCUGGUCGGAGAAGACAAUAGGGUAUUCAGCACUCUGAAGCCAAUAGAUGUUGUUACAGAACGCAAAGCAUGUGAUUUUUUUUGAAGUUU
Brassica rapa (field mustard) is the source of this 988-nucleotide long non-coding RNA. RefSeq lists it as uncharacterized. The record is from RefSeq and is a predicted model, not a curated record. NCBI's taxonomy places the organism in Eukaryota, Viridiplantae, Streptophyta, Magnoliopsida, Brassicales, Brassicaceae.